GAUGAACGCUGGCGGCGUGCCUAAUACAUGCAAGUCGAGCGAACAGACGAGGAGCUUGCUCCUCUGACGUUAGCGGCGGACGGGUGAGUAACACGUGGAUAACCUACCUAUAAGACUGGGAUAACUUCGGGAAACCGGAGCUAAUACCGGAUAAUAUAUUGAACCGCAUGGUUCAAUAGUGAAAGACGGUUUUGCUGUCACUUAUAGAUGGAUCCGCGCCGCAUUAGCUAGUUGGUAAGGUAACGGCUUACCAAGGCGACGAUGCGUAGCCGACCUGAGAGGGUGAUCGGCCACACUGGAACUGAGACACGGUCCAGACUCCUACGGGAGGCAGCAGUAGGGAAUCUUCCGCAAUGGGCGAAAGCCUGACGGAGCAACGCCGCGUGAGUGAUGAAGGUCUUCGGAUCGUAAAACUCUGUUAUUAGGGAAGAACAAAUGUGUAAGUAACUAUGCACGUCUUGACGGUACCGAAUCGGAAAGCCACGGCUAACUACGU
Molecule: ribosomal RNA, 496 nt
Filed under: uncultured bacterium
Lineage: Bacteria
Description: partial 16S ribosomal RNA
Rfam family: Bacterial small subunit ribosomal RNA
Source: RNAcentral